AACAUGGGGGCUAUGAAGUUCACUCUGUAAUUUGGGCACUUGGAGUGAAUGGAGCUAGUAGUGCAACCGACCAUC
Molecule: non-coding RNA, 75 nt
Filed under: Paenibacillus senegalensis
Lineage: Bacteria; Bacillati; Bacillota; Bacilli; Caryophanales; Paenibacillaceae
Description: Cyclic di-GMP-II riboswitch
Rfam family: Cyclic di-GMP-II riboswitch aptamer
Source: RNAcentral